RNAcentral lists this ribosomal RNA (117 nucleotides) under Paenibacillus oralis. Lineage: Bacteria; Bacillati; Bacillota; Bacilli; Caryophanales; Paenibacillaceae. The record is from RNAcentral.
UUUGGUGAUGAUGGCGGAGGGGUUCCACGCGUACCCAUCCCGAACACGGCCGUUAAGCCCUCCAGCGCCGAUGGUACUUGGACCGAAGGGUCCUGGGAGAGUAGGACGCCGCCAAGC